GUGCAACCUCUCCACUGGGUCAGACUUCUCUAACCUUGGGGGGAGAGUAUAUAUAUGCGACGACUGCAUGAGGGGAGCAGACAGCACAGCGGGACAGAUCCUGACGAACUUCUGUCAUCAUGAAGCUUGCACUCCUCCUCGUCAUCCUGGUGCCGUUGGUGGCGGUGUUUACCUCCGUUAGCUCCGCCCCGUGUCCGGUUGCCUCGCCAGGUCCUGAACCCGACCCCCCACUGGCCCGGUUCAUAAAGAAAUGGUUCGGGAAGCUUGGCUUAGGGAGGGGAAUAGCAGGAGAUCUCAAACUCUUCAAGAAGCCAGAACCAGCCCCACCAAUGCCUGCCAAACAUCUUCCACCACGACCUGCCUACGGCCCACCACCGCCUCCUGCUCACGCCUACACAUCUUACGGCCCACCGCCGCCACCUGCUUAUGGUUAUGCACCUGCUUAUGGCGCCCCAUCUCCACCUGCUCACGGACAAUCUUAACAACCCACCCAUACCAAAAACAACACAACCACUAACUAGCAGCUUGCCUACGCCCUAGCCUACUCAUCCCCAUAUUCCUGCUGUCUGCUUACCCCUGCCGCUCUACAUACCACCAGCCACCAGUUCAUUCAUAACAAGGCUCUGUUCACAACUAACCUACCAGCCUACCCACUCCCAGCUCCCUGCCUACCGCUUAUAGCUUCACGAAUUUGCCGUCUGUUCAUUAAUAACCCACAUAUCAAAGUUGUUUACCUGCCCAGUGCCCACUAACAUCAGCCUCCUACUGCUCUCAGCCUACUUAUCUUCAUGCACCUGCUGUCUGUUUAAUGCUUAUCCCUGCCGGUCAGCCUACCCUCGGCAAAGUGUAUUCGCCCCUCACUCCUGCUCGGCGCCCCGCUGCUGAAAGAGGCGACGGAUCACAGUACAACAACCAUAACCAUUUUGCUUCAACCGCCCCGCACUAAUGACUCCAUGUUCUACCUAAGUCAGUCUCCUUCCAUACGUGUGUGUGUGUGUGUGUGUGUGUGUGUGUGUUCAUAGCAGUAAACAUAUUCGCACGAAGUUCCAAAGCACAUUUGUUUAUAAGGAAGUUAUUCAAUAAAAGAUACACUUCA
Molecule: long non-coding RNA, 1096 nt
Organism: Eriocheir sinensis (Chinese mitten crab)
Lineage: Eukaryota; Metazoa; Arthropoda; Malacostraca; Decapoda; Varunidae
Exons: 2
Source: RefSeq, a predicted model, not a curated record